RNAcentral lists this ribosomal RNA (376 nucleotides) under uncultured Glomeromycotina. RNAcentral describes it as "LSU rRNA". The record is from RNAcentral. Lineage: Eukaryota; Fungi; Glomeromycota.
UUGAAAGGGAAACGAUUGAAGUCAGUCGUACCAGCGGGAAAUCAACCUUUCGAGUGGGGGGUUUUGGAGUUUUGAAGAGUGUCAAAACCUUUGAGAUUUCAAAAUAUUCGCUCUUUUGGUGUACUUUCUCGUGGGUAGGUUAACAUCGAUUUUGAUCAUCAUAAAAAGAUUGGAGGAAUGUAGCUUCGAUCUUGUAUUGAAGUGUUAUAGCCUUUGGUAAAUGUGAUGAUUAGGAUCGAGGAUUGCAACGAAUACCCUUUUGGGCUAUCCGCCUGAUCUCUGAUACGUGGCCUUGGUAUCGAAAGCGUGCUUAUGGUAUUGAGGUAUUACGGUCAAAAGGUUAGAACGGAUUACAUUCGUUAAGGAUGUUGACGUA